This 496-nucleotide ribosomal RNA is filed under the name uncultured bacterium. Its description in RNAcentral is "partial 16S ribosomal RNA". It matches the Rfam family "Bacterial small subunit ribosomal RNA", at positions 29 to 507 of the family's 1533-position model. The record is from RNAcentral.
AUGAACGCUGGCGGCGUGCCUAAUACCUGCCAGUCGAGCGAACAGACGAGGAGCUUGCUCCUCUGACGUUAGCGGCGGACGGGUGAGUAACACGUGGAUAACCUACCUAUAAGACUGGGAUAACUUCGGGAAACCGGAGCUAAUACCGGAUAAUAUAUUGAACCGCAUGGUUCAAUAGUGAAAGACGGUUUUGCUGUCACUUAUAGAUGGAUCCGCGCCGCAUUAGCUAGUUGGUAAGGUAACGGCUUACCAAGGCGACGAUGCGUAGCCGACCUGAGAGGGGGAUCGGCCACACUGGAACUGAGACACGGUCCAGACUCCUACGGGAGGCAGCAGUAGGGAAUCUUCCGCAAUGGGCGAAAGCCUGACGGAGCAACGCCGCGUGAGUGAUGAAGGUCUUCGGAUCGUAAAACUCUGUUAUUAGGGAAGAACAAAUGUGUAAGUAACUAUGCACGUCUUGACGGUACCUAAUCAGAAAGCCACGGCUAACUACGUG